This 585-nucleotide ribosomal RNA is filed under the name uncultured bacterium. RNAcentral describes it as "partial 16S ribosomal RNA". It matches the Rfam family "Bacterial small subunit ribosomal RNA", at positions 355 to 933 of the family's 1533-position model. The record is from RNAcentral.
UGGGGAAUUUUGGACAAUGGGCGAAAGCCUGAUCCAGCAAUGCCGCGUGAGUGAAGAAGGCCUUCGGGUUGUAAAGCUCUUUUGUCAGGGAAGAAACGGUGAGAGCUAAUAUCUUUUGCUAAUGACGGUACCUGAAGAAUAAGCACCGGCUAACUACGUGCCAGCAGCCGCGGUAAUACGUAGGGUGCAAGCGUUAAUCGGAAUUACUGGGCGUAAAGCGUGCGCAGGCGGUUUUGUAAGUCUGAUGUGAAAUCCCCGGGCUCAACCAGGGAAUUGCAUUGGAGACUGCAAGGCUAGAAUCUGGCAGAGGGGGGUAGAAUUCCACGUGUAGCAGUGAAAUGCGUAGAUAUGUGGAGGAACACCGAUGGCGAAGGCAGCCCCCUGGGUCAAGAUUGACGCUCAUGCACGAAAGCGUGGGGAGCAAACAGGAUUAGAUACCCUGGUAGUCCACGCCCUAAACGAUGUCUACUAGUUGUCGGGUCUUAAUUGACUCGGUAACGCAGCUAACGCGUGAAGUAGACCGCCUGGGGAGUACGGUCGCAAGAUUAAAACUCAAAUGAAUUGACGGGGUCUAGCUGUUUCCUG